This is a non-coding RNA of Paramisgurnus dabryanus, 658 nucleotides long. The record is from RefSeq and is a predicted model, not a curated record. Lineage: Eukaryota; Metazoa; Chordata; Actinopteri; Cypriniformes; Cobitidae.
AAAAUGACCGGGAAAAUCUGACAGGACUGAGAAGAGGAUAACGGCACAGCGGGGUUUUAGAAGUCAGCGAAUGGAUGGAUUAUCCAGUCAAGGUACAGAAUGAAAGACUUGACUGAGUUAGAAGAAGCUGGGCGACUCUUCAGAGUGAAGAUGUUAUGUGCCUGCUUUCGAACCACACCCGUGGAGAUAUCUGCCAACAAAUGGACAAUCAUUCAUGGGGCUACAGAUGGGGCUGCAUUCAAGAAUUUUCAAUAUGCAGUUAUGUCAAAGCACUCGUUUCGGCUGGCCAGAUUGGAACAGACCUGAAUGGGAAGAUGGCAGAGCUAAGACUGACAAUGUCCAGGAAAAAUGUUAACUAAAAAUGAGUGUGUGUUUCCUCAGCGAGUGAGUUUGGGAAUGUUUUAAAUGUGCCUAAAAGUUUGAAAAUGUAAUCCUGAGGGAAAAAAGUGAGCGCUUUGAAAAGGCUUUAAAAAGAAAAUAAAGUCUGAAGUUGAUGGUAAAUGAAUUUAAAGUUUUUACUUGAAAAGUUUGUACUUGUUUGUACUUGUCAAGUCUGUGCUGAAAAAAAUGGAGUAAAGUUUGUAUUUGAAAAGACUUGGAAUUGUGUGUUCUGUAGAAUGAGUACACAUAUAUGUGCAGGCUGUAUAAAAAACAUAGU